This 439-nucleotide ribosomal RNA is filed under the name uncultured bacterium. Its description in RNAcentral is "partial 16S ribosomal RNA". It matches the Rfam family "Bacterial small subunit ribosomal RNA", at positions 339 to 795 of the family's 1533-position model. The record is from RNAcentral.
CUACGGGCGGCUCCAGUGGGGAAUAUUGCACAAUGGAGGAAACUCUGAUGCAGCAACGCCGCGUGGAGGAUGACACUUUUCGGAGCGUAAACUCCUUUUAUAUAGGAAGAAGAUGACGGUACUAUAUGAAUAAGCGCCGGCUAACUCCGUGCCAGCAGCCGCGGUAAUACGGAGGGCGCAAGCGUUACUCGGAAUCACUGGGCGUAAAGAGCGUGUAGGCGGAUUAAAAAGUCAGAAGUGAAAUCCUAUAGCUUAACUAUAGAACUGCUUCUGAAACUCUUAAUCUAGAAUAUGGGAGAGGUAGAUGGAAUUUCUGGUGUAGGGGUAACAUCCGUAGAGAUCAGAAGGAAUACCGAUUGCGAAGGCGAUCUACUAGAACAUUAUUGACGCUGAGACGCGAAAUCGUGGGGAGCAAACAGGAUUAGAUACCCUAGUAGUC